RNAcentral lists this ribosomal RNA (407 nucleotides) under uncultured Jatrophihabitans sp. RNAcentral's name for it is "bacterial SSU rRNA". It matches the Rfam family "Bacterial small subunit ribosomal RNA", at positions 355 to 774 of the family's 1533-position model. The record is from RNAcentral. Lineage: Bacteria; Bacillati; Actinomycetota; Actinomycetes; Jatrophihabitantales; Jatrophihabitantaceae.
UGGGGAAUAUUGCACAAUGGGCGCAAGCCUGAUGCAGCGACGCCGCGUGAGGGAUGACUGCCUUCGGGUUGUAAACCUCUUUCAGCAGGGACGAAGCGAAAGUGACGGUACCUGCAGAAGAAGCACCGGCCAACUACGUGCCAGCAGCCGCGGUAAUACGUAGGGUGCAAGCGUUGUCCGGAAUUAUUGGGCGUAAAGAGCUCGUAGGCGGUUAGUCACGUCGGCUGUGAAAACCUGGGGCUCAACUCCGGGCCUGCAGCCGAUACGGGCAGACUAGAGUUCGGCAGGGGAGACUGGAAUUCCUGGUGUAGCGGUGAAAUGCGCAGAUAUCAGGAGGAACACCGGUGGCGAAGGCGGGUCUCUGGGCCGAAACUGACGCUGAGGAGCGAAAGCGUGGGGAGCAAACA